Molecule: ribosomal RNA, 492 nt
Filed under: uncultured bacterium
Lineage: Bacteria
Description: partial 16S ribosomal RNA
Rfam family: Bacterial small subunit ribosomal RNA
Source: RNAcentral
AGUGAACGCUGGCGGUAGGCCUAACACAUGCAAGUCGAACGGCAGCACAGUAAGAGCUUGCUCUUACGGGUGGCGAGUGGCGGACGGGUGAGGAAUACAUCGGAAUCUACUUUUUCGUGGGGGUUAACGUAGGGAAACUUACGCUAAUACCGCAUACGACCUACGGGUGAAAGCAGGGGAUCUUCGGACCUUGCGCGAUUGAAUGAGCCGAUGUCGGAUUAGCUAGUUGGCGGGGUAAAGGCCCACCAAGGCGACGAUCCGUAGCUGGUCUGAGAGGAUGAUCAGCCACACUGGAACUGGGACACGGUCCAGACUCCUACGGGAGGCAGCAGUGGGGAAUAUUGGACAAUGGGCGCAAGCCUGAUACAGCCAGACCGCGUGGGUGAAGAAGGCCUUCGGGUUGUAAAGCCCUUUUGUUGGGAAAGAACAGCAGCAGGUUAAUACCCCGCUGUUCUGACGGUACCCAAAGAAUAAGCACCGGCUAACUUCGUG